Molecule: transfer RNA, 73 nt
Filed under: Vibrio phage phi 3
Lineage: Duplodnaviria; Heunggongvirae; Uroviricota; Caudoviricetes; Demerecviridae
Also listed under: 1 other name
Rfam family: tRNA
About the family: Transfer RNA (tRNA) molecules are approximately 80 nucleotides in length. Their secondary structure includes four short double-helical elements and three loops (D, anti-codon, and T loops).
Source: Rfam by way of RNAcentral
GCAGUGGUAGCUCAGUAGGUAGAGCACGGGAUUGAAGAUCCUGGUGUCACUGGUUCAACUCCAGUCCUCUGCA